AACGCGAAGAACCUUACCUGGUCUUGACAUCCACGGAAGUUUUCAGAGAUGAGAAUGUGCCUUCGGGAACCGUGUGACAGGUGCUGCAUGGCUGUCGUCAGCUCGUGUUGUGAAAUGUUGGGUUAAGUCCCGCAACGAGCGCAACCCUUAUCCUUUGUUGCCAGCGGUCCGGCCGGGAACUCAAAGGAGACUGCCAGUGAUAAACUGGAGGAAGGUGGGGAUGACGUCAAGUCAUCAUGGCCCUUACGACCAGGGCUACACACGUGCUACAAUGGCGCAUACAAAGAGAAGCGACCUCGCGAGAGCAAGCGGACCUCAUAAAGUGCGUCGUAGUCCGGAUUGGAGUCUGCAACUCGACUCCAUGAAGUCGGAAUCACUAGUAAUCGUGGAUCAGAAUGCCACGGUGAAUACGUUCCCGGGCCUUGUACACACCG
Molecule: ribosomal RNA, 434 nt
Filed under: uncultured bacterium
Lineage: Bacteria
Description: bacterial SSU rRNA
Rfam family: Bacterial small subunit ribosomal RNA
Source: RNAcentral